GACACGACUCUCGGCAAUGGAUAUCUUGGCUCUCGCAUCGAUGAAGAGCGCAGCGAAAUGCGAUACGUGGUGCGAAUUGCAGAAUCCCGCGAAC
This 94-nucleotide ribosomal RNA is filed under the name Maxillaria aff. ponerantha Whitten 2558. RNAcentral's name for it is "5.8S ribosomal RNA". It matches the Rfam family "5.8S ribosomal RNA", at positions 1 to 89 of the family's 154-position model. From Rfam's summary of the family: 5.8S ribosomal RNA (5.8S rRNA) is a component of the large subunit of the eukaryotic ribosome. It is transcribed by RNA polymerase I as part of the 45S precursor that also contains 18S and 28S rRNA. The record is from RNAcentral. RNAcentral also lists the same sequence under 3 other names. Lineage: Eukaryota; Viridiplantae; Streptophyta; Magnoliopsida; Asparagales; Orchidaceae.